This 254-nucleotide ribosomal RNA is filed under the name uncultured bacterium. RNAcentral describes it as "partial 16S ribosomal RNA". It matches the Rfam family "Bacterial small subunit ribosomal RNA", at positions 524 to 776 of the family's 1533-position model. The record is from RNAcentral.
UACGGGGGGGGCAAGCGUUGUUCGGAAUUACUGGGCGUAAAGGGCUCGUAGGCGGCCAACUAAGUCAGACGUGAAAUCCCUCGGCUUAACCGGGGAACUGCGUCUGAUACUGGAUGGCUUGAGUUUGGGAGAGGGAUGCGGAAUUCCAGGUGUAGCGGUGAAAUGCGUAGAUAUCUGGAGGAACACCGGUGGCGAAGGCGGCAUCCUGGACCAUUACUGACGCUGAGUGAGCGAAAGCCAGGGGAGCAAACGGG